RNAcentral lists this ribosomal RNA (387 nucleotides) under uncultured bacterium. Its description in RNAcentral is "bacterial SSU rRNA". It matches the Rfam family "Bacterial small subunit ribosomal RNA", at positions 29 to 416 of the family's 1533-position model. The record is from RNAcentral.
AGUGAACGCUGGCGGCAUGCCUAACACAUGCAAGUCGAACGGUAACAGGCCCGCAAGGGUGCUGACGAGUGGCGGACGGGUGAGGAAUACAUCGGAAUUUGCCCAGUCGUGGGGGAUAACGUAGGGAAACUUACGCUAAUACCGCAUACGACCUAACGGUGAAAGCGGGGGAUCGCAAGACCUCGCGCGGAUGGAUAAGCCGAUGUCGGAUUAGCUAGUUGGCGGGGUAAAGGCCCACCAAGGCGACGAUCCGUAGCUGGUCUGAGAGGAUGAUCAGCCACACUGGGACUGAGACACGGCCCAGACUCCUACGGGAGGCAGCAGUGGGGAAUAUUGGACAAGUGGGGGCAACCCUGAUCCAGCAAUGCCGCGUGUGUGAAGAAGGCC